UCAAGUUAUUAAGGGUGCAGGGCGGAUGCCUUGGCACUAGGAGCCGAUGAAGGACGUGAUAAGCUGCGAUAAGCUUCGGGGAGUUGCACGUAAACUUUGAUCCGAAGAUUUCCGAAUGAGGAAACUCACUUAGAGUAAUGUCUAAGUAUCAUUAAGUGAAUACAUAGCUUAAUGAGGGGAACUCAGGGAACUGAAACAUCUAAGUACCUGAAGGAAGAGAAAGAAAUUCGAUUCCGUAAGUAGCGGCGAGCGAACGCGGAUUAGCCCAAACCAAUAAAGUUUUCUUUAUUGGGGUUGAGGACAUACCACAUAUAAGAGGUCAUUGUAGUUGAAGAGGUUUGGAAAGACUCAUCAUAGAAGGUAAUAGUCCUGUAGUUAAACUAUAAUUCUUUAGGUAUGAUCCAGAGUACCACGGGACACGUGAAACCCUGUGGGAAGCAGGAGGGACCACCCUCCAAGGCUAAAUACUACCUAGUGACCGAUAGCGUAUAGUACCGUGAGGGAAAGGUGAAAAGAACCCCGGGAGGGGAGUGAAAUAGAACCUGAAACCCUGCACUUACAAGCUGUGGAAGCACAUUUCUUGUGUGACCACGUACUUUUUGUAGAACGGGCCAACGAGUUACGUUAAGUAGCAAGGUUAAGCACUUAAGGUGCGGAGCCGUAGCGAAAGCGAGUUUUAACUGAGCGUUCAGUUACUUGACGUAGACCCGAAACCGGGCGACCUACCCAUGAGCAGGAUGAAGCGAAAGUAAAAUUUCGUGGAGGUCCGAACCCACGAGCGUUGAAAAGCUCGGGGAUGACUUGUGGGUAGCGGUGAAAUUCCAAUCGAGCCCGGAGAUAGUCUGGUUCUCCCCGAAAUAGCUUUAGGGCUAGCCUCAAGGUGAGAGAUACGGAGGUAG
This 899-nucleotide ribosomal RNA is filed under the name Clostridioides difficile DA00141. RNAcentral's name for it is "bacterial LSU rRNA". It matches the Rfam family "Bacterial large subunit ribosomal RNA", at positions 3 to 905 of the family's 2925-position model. Lineage: Bacteria; Bacillati; Bacillota; Clostridia; Peptostreptococcales; Peptostreptococcaceae. The record is from RNAcentral.